AGCCCCGGCGAGGCGGCCUCUGACAGCCGGCGGCCCGGGACCGGCUUUAUACGUGCGCGCCCUCCCGGCGGGACGUCCGGGGAAGGGAAGGAAGUGCCCGGUGGGAAGGGCUGGGCCGCGUUCUCGGAUUACUGGGUUCUCCGGCGCCUUGUGCCCGCCCUCGCGCCCGGGAUCGCCUCGCGGGCUGGUGAUAUGCAGUACGAUUCUCUCUCAUGGUGCCUGGUGGGGGCAGCCCCCAGUCAGCCACGUGAUCAACAGAGACAACAAAUGGAGCAACUGAAAUGGCAUGCUACCGAGUGACUGGAGGCUUUCGGAACUUGACUAGGAACUUGAAAAAGCUCACUUAGUAACCCGAAGUAAAAUUCCACUUUGGUUUGCAAACAACCAGAAGAGGAAAAAAAAAAAAAAAAUCUCAGACUUGAGGCCACGGAUGGUUAUAAUUUUCAGCCUUUUUUAGAAGCAAACUGGAUUUUUCUUCUGCCUAUCUCAUGUUCCCUUUGGUUUUGGAAGUCUUUUUUCUUUUAUCCCCCCAUCGUGAACUUUAAAAUAGAUGGGCAGUUUUUAAAUAGGGACUGCCCGUGGGAAUGACUGAACAUCUAACACAAUGCCAAGCUCCUAAAGAAUGUUAAACCAAAGGGGAUGAAAUUUGGUAGAUUUCAGGGUUUCACAGUGCAAAUAUUGUAUUGUGAGGUGGCAGGGUCACAAAAAAGCAUCAGAAAGAAAAGAGGAAAAUGUUUCUGGCCUCAUGGCCCUGGACUUGCAUUCCUGCCUCCCUGGCUCAGGGUUUCCAGGAAGGACCAGAGUUCUGAGAAUCUCCGCUGCAACCAGGAGGCCCCUUCCGCUCAGCAGCUCUUCAAAAGCCCUUGAAGCAAACGGCGCUUUUCCUGCAUUUGCAGAUGUGUUACUCACCCGGGCUGGCUUUGGUUGGGGCGCUUCCCCCAGAAGUAGACCCUAGGACAAAGAUUUGGGACAAGUCAUUUAUUUGAGAGGGGGAGACAGACAGGGAAUGGGGGGAAGGGACCAACAGAGAGUGCCUGAGCACACUGGUGACACUGGGUCUCCAUGGUCACUCCAUGGGUCCCUGUCACUCUGGGUGACAUCAUCAGUUUUCCAAGCCAUGGAGACGGGGCUAUGGCAGCUCUCUUUCAGCUACCCUCUUCUCUGGAGAUGACAAAUUCUUGACACUCUGGGCUGACAGUGAGAACCUAGUUGAACAGAGGGAACACUCAGGUGGAGAAUGGCAGGGGACUGCCAAGGGGCUAUGAACAUGACAUCAGUGUCUCCUACUGAUGCCAUCCAAAGAGAUUUGAGUUAGAGUGUCAUGGGGGUUACAAACUCACUGGCUUUGAGCCUCUCCAAGGCAUGAGGUGUCUCAGACUCUAGUUGGAGACCCUUCAGAGGUAUCCCUUUUGUUCUUCUUAUUUUAAUAAGAUAUUUGAGACACUCCAGGAAUCAUCUCUCAGAACCCAUAGGAUCCUCCUGUGCUCUUUAGUGCCGUCUAUCCACCCACUCAUAUUUCCAGCCAGCUAGCCAGCCAGCCAGCCAUCCACUCAUCUAUCCAUUUACGCACCCAUCUAUCCACCUGCUCACCUAUCUAUCCAUCCAUCCGUCAAGCUAGUCAGCCAGCCAGUCAACCAACCAGCCACGCAAUGUUAUUUAAGUCCCUAUCAUGCACUGGGUUAGGCACUGGAAUUAAAGGCAGGAACUCCUGCCUUCAUGACCCUUGAA
Molecule: long non-coding RNA, 1728 nt
Organism: Canis lupus familiaris (dog)
Lineage: Eukaryota; Metazoa; Chordata; Mammalia; Carnivora; Canidae
Exons: 3
Source: RefSeq, a predicted model, not a curated record